Non-coding RNA from Haemorhous mexicanus (house finch), 73 nucleotides. The record is from the annotation of a RefSeq genome assembly. Lineage: Eukaryota; Metazoa; Chordata; Aves; Passeriformes; Fringillidae.
CCUUUGAUAGCUCAGUUGGUAGAGCGGAGGACUGUAGAUCCUUAGGUCGCUGGUUCAACUCCGGCUCAAAGGA